CUUUUACUUUAUUCUAGAAAAUCCAUUUGAACAAACUCAGGGAGAUAGUGAAGGACAGGGGAGCCUGGCAUGCGGCCGCCCAUGGGGUCACAAAGAGUCGGAUAUGACUUAGCGAAUGAACAACAAAGAAAAUCUGUAUCUUGGUAUGUAAACACUCUGAAACUUAUAUCUGUAUCUAUAUCACUUAUAUUUAUAUAUAGUCUUUAUUAUCCACAGACAUGCGUACAUUCCUCAUUUGGCCACUACUCACCUUUGAGGACUUGCUGGGUUAAUUCUCUGCUGCCACACUAGUGAGGUCUUGCCUGUGCAAAUAAGGAACCAUGUUUACCAAGGAGAUUGCUGAAAGACACAAGCUUCUGGAGAGCCAUGUCCCUGUGGUAAACCAGAGCCUGGUGUUACCAGUGACUCUCCACCUAAGAAAUCCCCUGAGAACCCAGAAACCAAGGAGCCCCAGUUCCCUCCAGAGAAAGACAUGCUUCACCCUUGGAGAAGUUUCAGCUCUGCUUUUGGUGAUCAAUGAAUGCCUCAAGUCCUGCUCAACUCUGUUUGCUCCAUUCUGGCUGCAACUUCGUGUGGGUCUAACAAGUCUAAUUAGGAUUUCAUCUGACAGGCUUCACAAGUCUAUCCUUCAAAAACCCAAAUAA
Molecule: long non-coding RNA, 644 nt
Filed under: Capra hircus (goat)
Lineage: Eukaryota; Metazoa; Chordata; Mammalia; Artiodactyla; Bovidae
Description: lncRNA (ENSCHIG00000002783.1)
Source: RNAcentral